Molecule: ribosomal RNA, 253 nt
Filed under: uncultured bacterium
Lineage: Bacteria
Description: partial 16S ribosomal RNA
Rfam family: Bacterial small subunit ribosomal RNA
Source: RNAcentral
UACGAAGGGGGCUAGCGUUGCUCGGAAUCACUGGGCGUAAAGCGCACGUAGGCGGCUUUUUAAGUCAGGGGUGAAAUCCUGGAGCUCAACUCCAGAACUGCCUUUGAUACUGGGAAUCUCGAGUCCGGGAGAGGUGAGUGGAACUCCGAGUGUAGAGGUGAAAUUCGUAGAUAUUCGGAAGAACACCAGUGGCGAAGGCGGCUCACUGGCCCGGUACUGACGCUGAGGUGCGAAAGCGUGGGGAGCAAACAGG